RNAcentral lists this long non-coding RNA (1750 nucleotides) under Setaria italica (foxtail millet). RNAcentral describes it as "long non-coding RNA (SITA_LNC001695)". Lineage: Eukaryota; Viridiplantae; Streptophyta; Magnoliopsida; Poales; Poaceae. The record is from RNAcentral.
AAGAAGCUGAUGAAUGAUGAUGAGCUGCCUGUUCUUCUCCGGCCUCCGCGCAACGAAAAGGAAGGAAGGAAGGUGCACGGUCUUCCUGGAUAGAAUUAGGAUGCGGGCAGGAGAGUUUGCGUGCGGGCGCAGCCGCGCUUGGAUGUACGAGUAGCAGGCAAGAGAGCUAGCAGGGCAGGUGUGUGGUGGUCCAAUGCCAUUGCCAAAGCCCAAGAGGAUCGAUGGGUCACUAUUACCAACCACUGGAUUGCCAGCGGCGCCCCGAGAGGGGCGACACGUACGCCGUGGUUCCGACCCGGUCGGAUCAAAGCCAGAUCGGCUCGCUUUGUAGUAGUAGUAGUAAGCAAUUUUCCCUUGCUUGAACCUUUUCAAGGCAGAGCUUAUCUCGAGUAGAGUACGUACCGUUCUUGGUCUGGUAUACAUAGAUGCGUAGGGCACACGCACACUUACGCCAGCUCGUUAAUGACUAUUUCAACUACCUGUCUUCACUAGUUUUUAGAAAACUGAUUGUCGAUAGGUCUCGUACUGUCGACAACUAGUCGGAAUCAACUCCAACUAGUCGGCUUCAUCAACAACCGUCGCAGCUUCAUCGACAAUCGUCCAUGAAUCAAACUAAGUUAUUUUUUUAAUAAUUAUUUUUCUCUAGCUUGUUUUUAGCAUGGUUGGUGAAUGCGCCGACUACUUUUUUGUGUACGCCUCUAGAUGGAAAUUACCCUUCAGAGCUACAUUUUGCCAAUUAUUCCUAGGGCAUGUUAACCGACAUGUAUGGGUUUGGUACACUAAAUUAUGGAGGCUAUAGCCACAAAACCUGAGUUCCGGAAGCUCCGUCAAUGAGUUUGGUACAUCGAAUUUCGGAGCUAUGGUCAUGAGUUUGGUGCACUGAGUAUUGGAGGCUCGCAGCGGCUACACCCUAAGGAGGUACAAAUCCCAUGCGCGGCAAACACACGCUCUCCUCGCCGAAAGGCAGAAAAGUCUCAAUGACUACUUUAUGCGCAAUCGCACUCUCUUUUUAUCGCAAUGUCGACUGCUUAUUUUAAAUAUCUUCUCUUAGCGGUCACUAAUCUUCUUGAGCAGAACACACCUUGAUUCGUGAAAGCUUCGGAUCUUCUUUUCACGGAUCUUCUAUCAUGCCUAAACGCUAGGAUGCGAGACAAAGAUCUCCGUAGCAACAGUGCCACUACACGUACACGAGACAAAGAUCUUACAUGCAGUGAUAAUGACUAAACAGGGACUGGAAGCCUAAACGUAACAGACUAACUACUCGAGAAAAAUAUGAAUGAAACAAGAGCAUGACACACAACAUUUACAUUACAUUUAUCAUUGAAUAAAUUUCAGUAGUUCCAAAUUCUACAACUACGCUACAUAAUGUAUGCAUCUCUUUUUGCAGGUCAAGUUUCGACGACGACUUACCAAGACGCUCAACGUACCUCCAAUGGCUCCGCUAGCUCUCAGCUCAACGGCUAAGUGCCAAUUGCUACUCAGAAUACCUCCAAUGCAAGGAUCUUGAUGUCGCCUAUGGGGUGAAUAAGUGUAACCUGAAAAUGUCGCCACUUAAAACAAGUUUAUCAGCGACUUGCGGAUUUUUUCAAAAAUAUCCGCAAAUUACGGAAUCUCUGAAGAAAUCUUCGGAAUUUCCGAAGAUAGAAAACACAUGCAUUAAGCAGUGGACUAAAACUCUGUCUGCUUGAAAAUCGGAACUUCCGGUUUCCAAAACAAAGAACUUCUGGUUUUGGCUCGAUCAGAAAAAAAC